Molecule: ribosomal RNA, 253 nt
Filed under: uncultured bacterium
Lineage: Bacteria
Description: partial 16S ribosomal RNA
Rfam family: Bacterial small subunit ribosomal RNA
Source: RNAcentral
UACGGAGGGUGCAAGCGUUGUCCGGAUUUAUUGGGUUUAAAGGGUGCGUAGGCGGCUCUUUAAGUCAGUGGUGAAAGCCGACAGCUUAACUGUCGAAAUGCCAUUGAUACUGGGGAGUUUGAGUACAGUAGAGGUAGGCGGAAUUAAUGGUGUAGCGGUGAAAUGCAUAGAUACCAUUAAGAACACCGAUUGCGAAGGCAGCUUACUAUAGUGUAACUGACGCUGAGGCACGAAAGUGUGGGGAUCAAACAGG